This 85-nucleotide transfer RNA is filed under the name Williamsia sp. Leaf354. RNAcentral's name for it is "tRNA-Leu". It matches the Rfam family "tRNA". From Rfam's summary of the family: Transfer RNA (tRNA) molecules are approximately 80 nucleotides in length. Their secondary structure includes four short double-helical elements and three loops (D, anti-codon, and T loops). Further hydrogen bonds mediate the characteristic L-shaped molecular structure. tRNAs have two regions of fundamental functional importance: the anti-codon, which is responsible for specific mRNA codon recognition, and the 3' end, to which the tRNAs corresponding amino acid is attached (by aminoacyl-tRNA synthetases). tRNAs cope with the degeneracy of the genetic code in two manners: having more than one tRNA (with a specific anti-codon) for a particular amino acid; and 'wobble' base-pairing, i.e. permitting non-standard base-pairing at the 3rd anti-codon position. Lineage: Bacteria; Bacillati; Actinomycetota; Actinomycetes; Mycobacteriales; Nocardiaceae. The record is from RNAcentral.
GCGCGAGUGGCGGAAUUGGCAGACGCGCUGGAUUUAGGUUCCAGUGUCCGAGGACGUGGGGGUUCAAGUCCCCCCUCGCGCACCG